AAUAGAUACCCUGGUAGUCCAUGCCGUAAACGAUGAGUGCUAAGUGUUAGGGGGUUUCCGCCCCUUAGUGCUGCAGCUAACGCAUUAAGCACUCCGCCUGGGGAGUACGACCGCAAGGUUGAAACUCAAAGGAAUUGACGGGGGCCCGCACAAGCGGUGGAGCAUGUGGUUUAAUUCGAAGCAACGCGAAGAACCUUACCAGGUCUUGACAUCCCGAUGACCGCUCUAGAGAUAGAGUUUUCCCUUCGGGGACAUUGGCGACAGGUGGUGCAUGGUUGUCGUCAGCUCGUGUCGUGAGAUGUUGGGUUAAGUCCCGCAACGAGCGCAACCCUUAAUCUUAGUUGCCAUCAUUUAGUUGGGCACUCUAAGGUGACUGCCGGUGAUAAACCGGAGGAAGGUGGGGAUGACGUCAAAUCAUCAUGCCCCUUAUGACCUGGGCUACACACGUGCUACAAUGGACGGUACAAAGAGUCGCUCACUCGCGAGAGUAUGCUAAUCUCAUAAAACCGUUCUCAGUUCGGA
RNAcentral lists this ribosomal RNA (522 nucleotides) under uncultured bacterium. RNAcentral describes it as "bacterial SSU rRNA". It matches the Rfam family "Bacterial small subunit ribosomal RNA", at positions 777 to 1297 of the family's 1533-position model. The record is from RNAcentral.